UACGGGGGGGGCAAGCGUUGUUCGGAAUUACUGGGCGUAAAGGGCGCGUAGGCGGCCUGUUAAGUCGAACGUGAAAUCCCCGGGCUCAACCCGGGAACUGCGUCCGAUACUGGCAGGCUUGAAUUCGGGAGAGGGAUGCGGAAUUCCAGGUGUAGCGGUGAAAUGCGUAGAUAUCUGGAGGAACACCGGUGGCGAAGGCGGCUUCCUGGACCGAGAUUGACGCUGAGGCGCGAAAGCCAGGGGAGCAAACGGG
This 253-nucleotide ribosomal RNA is filed under the name uncultured bacterium. RNAcentral's name for it is "partial 16S ribosomal RNA". It matches the Rfam family "Bacterial small subunit ribosomal RNA", at positions 524 to 776 of the family's 1533-position model. The record is from RNAcentral.